Molecule: ribosomal RNA, 253 nt
Filed under: uncultured bacterium
Lineage: Bacteria
Description: partial 16S ribosomal RNA
Rfam family: Bacterial small subunit ribosomal RNA
Source: RNAcentral
UACGUAGGGUGCAGGCGUUAAUCGGAAUUACUGGGCGUAAAGCGUGCGCAGGCGGUUUGCUAAGACAGGUGUGAAAUCCCCGGGAUUAACCUGGGAACUGCGCUUGUAACUGGCAAGCUAGAGUGUGGCAGAGGGGGGUGGAAUUCCACGUGUAGCAGUGAAAUGCGUAGAGAUGUGGAGGAACACCGAUGGCGAAGGCAGCCCCCUGGGCUAACACUGACGCUCAUGCACGAAAGCGUGGGGAGCAAACAGG